GAUGAACGCUGGCGGCGUGCCUAACACAUGCAAGUCGAGCGAUCUUCUUCGGAAGAGAGCGGCGGACGGGUGAGUAACGCGUGGGUAACCUGCCCUGUACACACGGAUAACAUACCGAAAGGUAUGCUAAUACGAGAUAAUAUGCUUUAUCGCAUGGUAGAAGUAUCAAAGCUCCGGCGGUACAGGAUGGACCCGCGUCUGAUUAGCUAGUUGGUAAGGUAACGGCUUACCAAGGCGACGAUCAGUAGCCGACCUGAGAGGGUGAUCGGCCACAUUGGAACUGAGACACGGUCCAAACUCCUACGGGAGGCAGCAGUGGGAAUAUUGCACAAUGGGCGAAAGCCUGAUGCAGCAACGCCGCGUGAGCGAUGAAGGCCUUGGGUCGUAAAGCUCUGUCCUCAAGGAAGAUAAUGACGGUACUUGAGGAGGAAGCCCCGGCUAACUACGUGCCAGCAGCCGCGGUAAU
Molecule: ribosomal RNA, 466 nt
Filed under: uncultured bacterium
Lineage: Bacteria
Description: bacterial SSU rRNA
Rfam family: Bacterial small subunit ribosomal RNA
Source: RNAcentral